AGGAUAAACGCUGGCGGCGUGCCUAACACAUGCAAGUCGAACGCGCUUGCUAUCCGCGAGGACGGUGAGCGAGUGGCGGACGGGUGAGGAACACGUGGGUGACCUACCUUUCAGUGAGGGAUACCGGCGAGAAAUUGCCGACAAGACCGCAUACGCUUCUCUUUUCAAGGGGAGAAGGAAAGCUUUUCGCAAGAGAGGCGCUGGGAGAUGGGCCUGCGGCCGAUUAGCUAGCUGGUGGGUAAUGGCCUACCAGGGCGACGAUCGGUAGCUGGUCUGAGAGGACGAUCAGCCACACUGGGAUUGAGAACGGCCCAGACUCCUACGGGGGGCAGCAGUGAGGAAUUUCGGCAAUGGGGGCAACCCUGACCGAGCAACGCCGCGUGCAGGACGACGGCCUUCGGGUUGUAAACUGCUUUUCUCUGGGACGAGCAAGGACGGUACCAGAGGAAGAAGCCCGGCUAACUACGUGCCAGCAGCCGCGGU
This 483-nucleotide ribosomal RNA is filed under the name uncultured bacterium. Its description in RNAcentral is "SSU rRNA". It matches the Rfam family "Bacterial small subunit ribosomal RNA", at positions 26 to 521 of the family's 1533-position model. The record is from RNAcentral.